ACAUGCAAGUCGAGCGAAGACUUCGGUCUUAGCGGCGGACGGGUGAGUAACGCGUGGGAACAUGCCUUUCACUACGGAAUAGUCCCGGGAAACUGGGUUUAAUACCGUAUACGCCCUUCGGGGGAAAGAAUUUCGGUGAGAGAUCGGCCCGCGUCUGAUUAGGUAGUUGGUGGGGUAAUGGCCUACCAAGCCGACGAUCAGUAGCUGGUUUGAGAGGAUGAUCAGCCACACUGGGACUGAGACACGGCCCAGACUCCUACGGGAGGCAGCAGUGAGGAAUCUUGGACAAUGGGGGCAACCCUGAUCCAGCCAUGCCGCGUGAACGAUGAAGGCCUUAGGGUUGUAAAGUUCUUUCAACGGUGAAGAUAAUGACGGUAGCCGUAGAAGAAACCCCGGCUAACUCCGUGCCAGCAGCCGCGGUAAUACGGAGGGGGUUAGCGUUGUUCGGAAUUACUGGGCGUAAAGCGCACGUAGGCGGACUAUUAAGUCAGGGGUGAAAUCCCGGGGCUCAACCCCGGAACUGCCUUUGAUACUGGUAGUCUAGAGUUCGAGAGAGGUGAGUGGAAUUCCGAGUGUAGAGGUGAAAUUCGUAGAUAUUCGGAGGAACACCAGUGGCGAAGGCGGCUCACUGGCUCGAUACUGACGCUGAGGUGCGAAAGCGUGGGGGAGCAAACAGGAUUAGAUACCCUGGUAGUCCACGCCGUAAACGAUGUGUGCUAGACGUUGGAAAUAUAUUUUUCAGUGUCGCAGCGAAAGCAUUAAGCACACCGCCUGGGGAGUACGACCGCAAGGUUAAAACUCAAAUGAAUUGACGGGGACCCGCACAAGCAGUGGAGCAUGUGGUUUAAUUCGAAGAUACGCGCAGAAUCUUACCAACACUUGACAUGUUCGUCGCGAGCCUAAGAGAUUAGGCUUUUCAGUUUGGCUGGACGAAACACAGGUGCUGCAUGCUGUCGUCAGCUCGUGUCGUGAGAUGUGGAUAAAGUCCCGCAACGAGCGCAACCCUACUUUAGUGCCACCAUUUAGUGGGCACUUUAAAGACUGCAGUGAUAGCUGAGAGUGGGGAUGACGUCAGUCUCAUGCCUAUGUGUGGCUACCACGUGCUACAUGCACUACAUGGAAGCAAGAGGGACUCUAGCUAUCCAAAAGUGUCUAGUCGGAAUGAACCUGGAACUCGAUGAUGCGUGG
This 1188-nucleotide ribosomal RNA is filed under the name uncultured Alphaproteobacteria bacterium. Its description in RNAcentral is "bacterial SSU rRNA". It matches the Rfam family "Bacterial small subunit ribosomal RNA", at positions 53 to 1330 of the family's 1533-position model. The record is from RNAcentral. Lineage: Bacteria; Pseudomonadati; Pseudomonadota; Alphaproteobacteria.